RNAcentral lists this long non-coding RNA (358 nucleotides) under Carica papaya (papaya). RNAcentral describes it as "long non-coding RNA (CPAP_LNC009703)". Lineage: Eukaryota; Viridiplantae; Streptophyta; Magnoliopsida; Brassicales; Caricaceae. The record is from RNAcentral.
UUUUAAUAAUAGAAAAAGGAGAGAGAUACAGGAACAGAUUGGUACAGCUGUAAAGAGGGGCCCAUAAACAUGAGGUGGUAAGAACGUGCGUGGCGUUUCUCCCGGAUUUGUGAAACCCCCUAACUGCCAGGCAUCUUCUCUAUCAUGCCCAAAUCGGUGCACAUGCCUCUUGCUUCUCUCCUUUUCAUUCCUCUCUUCUCUUUUCUUUUCCUUUCUUUAAUUUCACUGCCUUGCAUCCUUGGGAACCCGAUUCCAGACAAACCAACUCUCUCACUCUUGCAAUUAAAGCAUAUUACCACUCCCAAAAUUAUUGCUGGUUCACAAAAUAAUUUCUACGUAAUAAUAAUAAUGUAUGGUU